Molecule: ribosomal RNA, 764 nt
Filed under: uncultured Peptostreptococcus sp.
Lineage: Bacteria; Bacillati; Bacillota; Clostridia; Peptostreptococcales; Peptostreptococcaceae
Description: bacterial SSU rRNA
Rfam family: Bacterial small subunit ribosomal RNA
Source: RNAcentral
GAUGAACGCUGGCGGCGUGCCUAACACAUGCAAGUCGAGCGAGGGUUUGCUCAGUAUUGAGUAUUCUAAGUCUAGAAUGUUCAAUUCUGAGCAAAACCAAGCGGCGGACGGGUGAGUAACGCGUGGGUAACCUGCCCUAUACACAUGGAUAACGUACUGAAAAGUUUACUAAUACAUGAUAAUAUAUAUUUGCGGCAUCGCAGAUAUAUCAAAGUGUUAGCGGUAUAGGAUGGACCCGCGUCUGAUUAGCUAGUUGGUGAGAUAACUGCCCACCAAGGCGACGAUCAGUAGCCGACCUGAGAGGGUGAUCGGCCACAUUGGAACUGAGACACGGUCCAAACUCCUACGGGAGGCAGCAGUGGGGAAUAUUGCACAAUGGGCGAAAGCCUGAUGCAGCAACGCCGCGUGAACGAUGAAGGUCUUCGGAUCGUAAAGUUCUGUUGCAGGGGAAGAUAAUGACGGUACUCUGUGAGGAAGCCCCGGCUAACUACGUGCCAGCAGCCGCGGUAAUACGUAGGGGGCUAGCGUUAUCCGGAUUUACUGGGCGUAAAGGGUGCGUAGGUGGUCCUUCAAGUCGGUGGUUAAAGGCUACGGCUCAACCGUAGUAAGCCGCCGAAACUGGAGGACUUGAGUGCAGGAGAGGAAAAGUGGAAUUCCCAGUGUAGCGGUGAAAUGCGUAGAUAUUGGGAGGGAACACCAGUAGCGAAGGCGGCUUUCUGGACUGCAACUGACACUGAGGCACGAAAGCGUGGGUAGCAAACAGG